Molecule: small RNA, 177 nt
Filed under: Drosophila yakuba
Lineage: Eukaryota; Metazoa; Arthropoda; Insecta; Diptera; Drosophilidae
Description: GE28101
Source: RNAcentral
GUAAAUCAAGUACAUAUAACAUGUAUAGUAGCACUUUAAUAAUGUUUGGGAUAUUAAGUGUUGCGAGCCCUAUUCUGAUACCUCCAUUCUGUGACCUUUUAGUGGUAGAUGCACCUUUAAAAUGCUAUAAUGCCACAGAUUGUGAAUGUAAGUAGAGCUGCAUAUUUAAAGUUCCAG